RNAcentral lists this long non-coding RNA (504 nucleotides) under Mus musculus (house mouse). RNAcentral's name for it is "predicted gene 12610". Lineage: Eukaryota; Metazoa; Chordata; Mammalia; Rodentia; Muridae. The record is from RNAcentral.
AGCGGUACGCUGCGCUCCUCCGGUUGGGAACAGCGCGCAGAGAAGAGCCGCUGCGUGUACCCGGGACCAGGGCCUGCACGCCGCGGCGGACCGGUGACAAGUCAGGUGGAGAAGCUCAAGUCUUGAACUCUGCUUGGUUUCCCAGGUACAGGCUAGACCCCACCCACGAUGAUCACUGAAUCACCAGGUGCUGAGGCCUCUUUCUGUUGUCAAGAGCCAGAGACAACUGAAAGAGCCAGAGACAAUUGAAAGCUCCUGUGGAUACUAAGCAGUUGUUCUGCCAUGGGCCUGCAUCUCCAGCAGUUGUUCUGCCAUGGGCCUGCAUCUCCAGCAAGUGCUGACGUCAUUAAAAUAUUCACCACAAUCGCACUGCUUCGUGUAACCUAACAGUGAGCUUUGAACUUCUCUGAAACUUGGAAAGUAAAAGGUACUUUGCACCAAUUUCUAAGCUACCUUCUGUAUAGUUCCUGUUUCUGGGGAUAAAAAUGUUUAUAAAUGAGAAAA